GACGAACGCUGGCGGCGUGCUUAACACAUGCAAGUCGAACGGAAAGGCCCCUUCGGGGGUACUCGAGUGGCGAACAGGUGAGUAACACGUGAGUAACCUGCCCUUGACUUCGGGAUAACUUCAGGAAACUGGGGCUAAUACCGGAUAGGAAUCCUUGCUGCAUGGUGGGGGUUGGAAAGCUUCGGCGGUUUUGGAUGGACUCGCGGCUUAUCAGCUUGUUGGUGGGGUAGUGGCUUACCAAGGCUUUGACGGGUAGCCGGCCUGAGAGGGCGACCGGCCACAUUGGGACUGAGGUACGGCCCAGACUCCUACGGGAGGGAGCAGGGGGGAAGAAUGCACAAUGGGCGGAAGCCUGAUGCAGCAACGACGCGGGCGGGAUGACGGCCUUCGGGUUGUAAACCGCUUUCAGCAGGGGCGAAGCUUGUGGUGACGGUACCUGCAGAAGAAGCACCGGCUAACUACGUG
Molecule: ribosomal RNA, 465 nt
Filed under: uncultured bacterium
Lineage: Bacteria
Description: partial 16S ribosomal RNA
Rfam family: Bacterial small subunit ribosomal RNA
Source: RNAcentral